UACGUAGGGACCGAGCGUUAUCCGGAUUCAUUGGGCGUAAAGGGCGCGUAGGCGGCGGGGUAAGUCGGGUGUGAAAUCUCAGAGCUCAACUCUGAAACUGCACUCGAUACUGCUCUGCUUGAGGACUGGAGAGGAGACUGGAAUUCACGGUGUAGCAGUGAAAUGCGUAGAUAUCGUGAGGAAGACCAGUGGCGAAGGCGGGUCUCUGGACAGUUCCUGACGCUGAGGCGCGAAGGCCAGGGGAGCAAAGCGGG
This 254-nucleotide ribosomal RNA is filed under the name uncultured bacterium. RNAcentral's name for it is "partial 16S ribosomal RNA". It matches the Rfam family "Bacterial small subunit ribosomal RNA", at positions 524 to 777 of the family's 1533-position model. The record is from RNAcentral.